GGUUGACCUCGGAUCAGGUAGGGAUACCCGCUGAACUUAAGCAUAUCAAUAAGCGGAGGAAAAGAAACCAACCGGGAUUGCCUC
This 84-nucleotide ribosomal RNA is filed under the name Aspergillus ustus. RNAcentral describes it as "partial 28S ribosomal RNA". It matches the Rfam family "Eukaryotic large subunit ribosomal RNA", at positions 1 to 81 of the family's 3401-position model. Lineage: Eukaryota; Fungi; Ascomycota; Eurotiomycetes; Eurotiales; Aspergillaceae. The record is from RNAcentral.